Molecule: ribosomal RNA, 253 nt
Filed under: uncultured bacterium
Lineage: Bacteria
Description: partial 16S ribosomal RNA
Rfam family: Bacterial small subunit ribosomal RNA
Source: RNAcentral
UACAGAGGGUGCGAGCGUUAAUCGGAAUUACUGGGCGUAAAGCGCGCGUAGGCGGCUUUGCAAGUCGGGUGUGAAAUCCCCAGGCUUAACCUGGGAACUGCAUUCGAGACUGCAUUGCUAGAGUAUGGGAGAGGGUCGUGGAAUUCCCGGUGUAGCGGUGAAAUGCGUAGAGAUCGGGAGGAACACCAGAGGCGAAGGCGGCGACCUGGACAGUUACUGACACUCAACUACGAAAGCGUGGGGAGCAAACAGG